GACGAACGCUGGCGGCGUGCCUAAUACAUGCAAGUCGAGCGAGCGGGGACGGGUGAGUAACACGUGGGUAACCUCCCAUAUGAGGGGAUAACACUUGGAAACAGGUGCUAAACCGACACUGAUGGAUGGACCAGUGGUGCAUUAGCUAGUUGGUGAGGUAACGGCUCACCAGGGCCACGAUGCAUAGCCGACCUGAGAGGGUGAUGGGCCACACUGGGACUGGGACACGGCCCAGACUCCUACGGGGGGCAGCAGUAGGGAAUCUGCGGCAAUGGAGGAAAGUCUGACCGAGCAACGCGGGUGGAGUGAAGAAGGUUUUCGGAUCGUAAAACUCUUUUGUUAGAGAAGCGGUAUCUAACCAGAAAGCCACGGCUAACUACGUGCCAGCAGCCGCGGUAAUAC
Molecule: ribosomal RNA, 402 nt
Filed under: uncultured bacterium
Lineage: Bacteria
Description: partial 16S ribosomal RNA
Rfam family: Bacterial small subunit ribosomal RNA
Source: RNAcentral